Molecule: ribosomal RNA, 484 nt
Filed under: uncultured bacterium
Lineage: Bacteria
Description: partial 16S ribosomal RNA
Rfam family: Bacterial small subunit ribosomal RNA
Source: RNAcentral
AUUGAACGCUGGCGGCAUGCUUUACACAUGCAAGUCGAACGGCAGCGCGGGCUUCGGCCUGGCGGCGAGUGGCGCACGGGUGAGUAAUGCAUCGGAACGUGCCCCGUAGUGGGGGAUAGCCCGGCGAAAGCCGGAUUAAUACCGCAUACGACCUGAGGGUGCAAGCGGGGGACCGAAAGGCCUCGCGCUAUUGGAGCGGCCGAUGUCGGAUUAGCUAGUUGGUGGGGUAAAGGCUUACCAAGGCGACGAUCCGUAGCUGGUCUGAGAGGACGACCAGCCACACUGGGACUGAGACACGGCCCAGACUCCUACGGGAGGCAGCAGUGGGGAAUGUUGGACAAUGGGGGCAACCCUGAUCCAGCCAUGCCGCGUGCGGGAAGAAGGCCUUCGGGUUGUAAACCGCUUUUGUUCGGGAAGAAAUCCUCUGGGCUAAUACCCCGGGGGGAUGACGGUACCGGAAGAAUAAGCACCGGCUAACUACGUG